This 436-nucleotide ribosomal RNA is filed under the name uncultured bacterium. RNAcentral describes it as "bacterial SSU rRNA". It matches the Rfam family "Bacterial small subunit ribosomal RNA", at positions 474 to 913 of the family's 1533-position model. The record is from RNAcentral.
AGUACCUCAGGAAUAAGGGACGGCUAAAUAUGUGCCAGCAGCCGCGGUAAUACAUAUGUCCCAAGCGUUACCCGGAAUUACUGGGUGUAAAGCGUUCGUAGGCGGAAAGACAAGUUGAACAUGAAAGACCGGAGCUCAACUCCGAGUUUGUAUUCAAAACUAUUUUUCUAGAAUUAGGGAGAGGUAAGCGGAAUUCUGUGUGUAGGGGUGCAAUCCGUAGAUACACAGAGGAACACCAAAAGCGAAGGCAGCUUACUGGAACUAUAUUGACGCUGAGGAACGAAAGCGUGGGUAGCGAAAAGGAUUAGAUACCCUUGUAGUCCACGCCGUAAACGAUGAUAACUAAGUGUUGCAACUUGAUUGCAGUGCUGUAGCUAACGCGUUAAGUUAUCCACCUGAGGAGUACGGUCGCAAGAUUAAAACUCAAAUGAAUUGA